GUAAACGUCGGGCUAGCGGCGGGGGUAAUACGUAGGGUGCGAGCGUGAAUCGGGAUUACUGGGCGUAAAGUGUGCGGAGGCGGCCGCGCAAGUCGAGUGUGAAAGCCCCGGGCUUAACCUGGGAAUUGCGAUCGAAACUACGGGGCUGGAGUGUGGCAGAGGAAGGUGGAAGUCCACGUGUAGCGGUGAAAUGCGUAGAGAUGUGGAGGAACACCAAUGGCGAAGGCAGCCUUCUGGGCCAACACUGACGCUCAUGCACGAAAGCGUGGGGAGCAAACAGGAUUAGAUACCCGAGUAGUC
Molecule: ribosomal RNA, 300 nt
Filed under: uncultured Ignisphaera sp.
Lineage: Archaea; Thermoproteati; Thermoproteota; Thermoprotei; Desulfurococcales; Desulfurococcaceae
Description: bacterial SSU rRNA
Rfam family: Bacterial small subunit ribosomal RNA
Source: RNAcentral